Molecule: ribosomal RNA, 465 nt
Filed under: uncultured Klebsiella sp.
Lineage: Bacteria; Pseudomonadati; Pseudomonadota; Gammaproteobacteria; Enterobacterales; Enterobacteriaceae
Description: bacterial SSU rRNA
Rfam family: Bacterial small subunit ribosomal RNA
Source: RNAcentral
CCUACGGGAGGCUGCAGUGGGGAAUAUUGCACAAUGGGCGCAAGCCUGAUGCAGCCAUGCCGCGUGUGUGAAGAAGGCCUUCGGGUUGUAAAGCACUUUCAGCGGGGAGGAAGGCGGUGAGGUUAAUAGCCUCAUCGAUUGACGUUACCCGCAGAAGAAGCACCGGCUAACUCCGUGCCAGCAGCCGCGGUAAUACGGAGGGUGCAAGCGUUAAUCGGAAUUACUGGGCGUAAAGCGCACGCAGGCGGUCUGUCAAGUCGGAUGUGAAAUCCCCGGGCUCAACCUGGGAACUGCAUUCGGAACUGGCAGGCUAGAGUCUUGUAGAGGGGGGUAGAAUUCCAGGUGUAGCGGUGAAAUGCGUAGAGAUCUGGAGGAAUACCGGUGGCGAAGGCGGCCCCCUGGACAAAGACUGACGCUCAGGUGCGAAAGCGUGGGGAGCAAACAGGAUUAGAUACCCGAGUAGUC